This 253-nucleotide ribosomal RNA is filed under the name uncultured bacterium. RNAcentral describes it as "partial 16S ribosomal RNA". It matches the Rfam family "Bacterial small subunit ribosomal RNA", at positions 524 to 776 of the family's 1533-position model. The record is from RNAcentral.
UACGUAGGGUGCGAGCGUUAAUCGGAAUUACUGGGCGUAAAGCGUGCGCAGGCGGUUUUGUAAGUCUGUCGUGAAAUCCCCGGGCUCAACCUGGGAAUGGCGAUGGAGACUGCAAGGCUAGAAUCUGGCAGAGGGGGGUAGAAUUCCACGUGUAGCAGUGAAAUGCGUAGAUAUGUGGAGGAACACCGAUGGCGAAGGCAGCCCCCUGGGCUAAGAUUGACGCUCAUGCACGAAAGCGUGGGGAGCAAACAGG